UACGAAGGGGGCUAGCGUUGCUCGGAAUCACUGGGCGUAAAGCGCACGUAGGCGGACUCUUAAGUCAGGGGUGAAAUCCUGGAGCUCAACUCCAGAACUGCCUUUGAUACUGGGAGCCUUGAGUUCGAGAGAGGUGAGUGGAACUGCGAGUGUAGAGGUGAAAUUCGUAGAUAUUCGCAAGAACACCAGUGGCGAAGGCGGCUCACUGGCCCGAUACUGACGCUGAGGCACGAAAGCGUGGGGAGCAAACAGG
This 253-nucleotide ribosomal RNA is filed under the name uncultured bacterium. Its description in RNAcentral is "partial 16S ribosomal RNA". It matches the Rfam family "Bacterial small subunit ribosomal RNA", at positions 524 to 776 of the family's 1533-position model. The record is from RNAcentral.